CCUACGGGCGGCAGCAGUGGGGAAUAUUUGACAAUGGGGGGAACCCUGAUCCAGCCAUGCCGCGUGUGUGAAGAAGGCCCUCGGGUUGUAAAGCACUUUCAGUGAGGAAGAACGCCUGGUGGUUAAUACCCAUCAGGAAAGACAUCACUCACAGAAGAAGCACCGGCUAACUCCGUGCCAGCAGCCGCGGUAAUACGGAGGGUGCGAGCGUUAAUCGGAAUUACUGGGCGUAAAGCGCGCGUAGGUGGCUUGAUAAGCCGGUUGUGAAAGCCCCGGGCUCAACCUGGGAACGGCAUCCGGAACUGUCAAGCUAGAGUGCAGGAGAGGAAGGUAGAAUUCCCGGUGUAGCGGUGAAAUGCGUAGAGAUCGGGAGGAAUACCAGUGGCGAAGGCGGCCUUCUGGACUGACACUGACACUGAGGUGCGAAAGCGUGGGUAGCAAACAGGAUUAGAUACCCCGGUAGUC
This 465-nucleotide ribosomal RNA is filed under the name Vreelandella stevensii. RNAcentral's name for it is "partial 16S ribosomal RNA". It matches the Rfam family "Bacterial small subunit ribosomal RNA", at positions 338 to 795 of the family's 1533-position model. The record is from RNAcentral. Lineage: Bacteria; Pseudomonadati; Pseudomonadota; Gammaproteobacteria; Oceanospirillales; Halomonadaceae.